GUGGGGAAUUUUGGACAAUGGGCGAAAGCCUGAUCCAGCAAUGCCGCGUGCAGGAUGAAGGCCCUCGGGUUGUAAACUGCUUUUGUACGGAACGAAAAGCCUGAGGCUAAUAUCCUCGGGUCAUGACGGUACCGUAAGAAUAAGCACCGGCUAACUACGUGCCAGCAGCCGCGGUAAUACGUAGGGUGCAAGCGUUAAUCGGAAUUACUGGGCGUAAAGCGUGCGCAGGCGGUUUUGUAAGACAGUGGUUAAAUCCCCGGGCUCAACCUGGGAACUGCCAUUGUGACUGCAAGGCUAGAGUGCGGCAGAGGGGGAUGGAAUUCCGCGUGUAGCAGUGAAAUGCGUAGAUAUGCGGAGGAACACCGAUGGCGAAGGCAAUCCCCUGGGCCUGCACUGACGCUCAUGCACGAAAGCGUGGGGAGCAAACAGGAUUAGAUACCCUGGUAGUCC
Molecule: ribosomal RNA, 450 nt
Filed under: uncultured bacterium
Lineage: Bacteria
Description: partial 16S ribosomal RNA
Rfam family: Bacterial small subunit ribosomal RNA
Source: RNAcentral